Molecule: ribosomal RNA, 465 nt
Filed under: Vreelandella stevensii
Lineage: Bacteria; Pseudomonadati; Pseudomonadota; Gammaproteobacteria; Oceanospirillales; Halomonadaceae
Description: partial 16S ribosomal RNA
Rfam family: Bacterial small subunit ribosomal RNA
Source: RNAcentral
CCUACGGGUGGCAGCAGUGGGGAAUAUUGGACAAUGGGCGAAAGCCUGAUCCAGCCAUGCCGCGUGUGUGAAGAAGGCCUUCGGGUUGUAAAGCACUUUCAGUGGGGAAGAAAGCCUUGGGGCUAAUACCCUCGAGGAAGGACAUCACCCACAGAAGAAGCACCGGCUAACUCCGUGCCAGCAGCCGCGGUAAUACGGAGGGUGCGAGCGUUAAUCGGAAUUACUGGGCGUAAAGCGCGCGUAGGCGGUCUGAUAAGCCGGUUGUGAAAGCCCCGGGCUCAACCUGGGAACGGCAUCCGGAACUGUCAGGCUAGAGUGCAGGAGAGGAAGGUAGAAUUCCCGGUGUAGCGGGGAAAUGCGUAGAGAUCGGGAGGAAUACCAGUGGCGAAGGCGGCCUUCUGGACUGACACUGACGCUGAGGUGCGAAAGCGUGGGUAGCAAACAGGAUUAGAUACCCCAGUAGUC